This 253-nucleotide ribosomal RNA is filed under the name uncultured bacterium. RNAcentral's name for it is "partial 16S ribosomal RNA". It matches the Rfam family "Bacterial small subunit ribosomal RNA", at positions 524 to 776 of the family's 1533-position model. The record is from RNAcentral.
UACGAAGGGGGCUAGCGUUGUUCGGAAUUAUUGGGCGUAAAGCGCGCGCAGGCGGUCAUUUACGUCUGGGGUGAAAGCCCGGAGCUCAACUCCGGGAUUGCCUUGGAUACGGGAUGACUUGAGGAUCGGAGAGGCAAGGGGAAUUCCACGUGUAGCGGUGAAAUGCGUAGAGAUGUGGAGGAACACCUGUGGCGAAGGCGGCUCUCUGGGACGGUACUGACGCUGAGACGCGAAAGCGUGGGGAGCGAACAGG